AGAGUUUGAUUAUGGCUCAGGAUGAACGCUAGCUACAGGCUUAACACAUGCAAGUCGAGGGGCAGCGGGAAGAAAGCUGCUUCUUGCCGGCGACCGGCGCACGGGUGAGUAACGCGUAUCCAACCUGGCCCUUAGUAGGGGAUAGCCCGGCGAAAGUCGGAUUAAUACCCUAUGUUCUUCGUAGAAGACAUCUGAAAUGAAGCAAAGAUUUAUCGCUAAGGGAUGGGGAUGCGUCUGAUUAGGUAGUCGGCGGGGUAACGGCCCACCGAGCCAUCGAUCAGUAGGGGUUCUGAGAGGAAGGUCCCCCACAUUGGUACUGAGACACGGACCAAACUCCUACGGGAGGCAGCAGUGAGGAAUAUUGGUCAAUGGGCGCGAGCCUGAACCAGACCCAAGUAGCGUGAGGGAAGACUGCCCUAUGGGUUGUAAACCUUCUUUUGGCCGGGGAAUAAAGUGACGUACGUGUACGUUUUUGUAUGUACCCGGAGAAUAAGGACCGGCUAAUUCCGUGCCAGCAGCAGC
Molecule: ribosomal RNA, 522 nt
Filed under: uncultured bacterium
Lineage: Bacteria
Description: bacterial SSU rRNA
Rfam family: Bacterial small subunit ribosomal RNA
Source: RNAcentral